Molecule: ribosomal RNA, 253 nt
Filed under: uncultured bacterium
Lineage: Bacteria
Description: partial 16S ribosomal RNA
Rfam family: Bacterial small subunit ribosomal RNA
Source: RNAcentral
UACGAAGGGGGCUAGCGUUGCUCGGAAUGACUGGGCGUAAAGGGCGCGUAGGCGGCAUGACUAGUCAGACGUGAAAUUCCUGGGCUUAACCUGGGGGCUGCGUUUGAUACGGUUAGGCUAGAGGAUGGAAGAGGCUCGUGGAAUUCCCAGUGUAGAGGUGAAAUUCGUAGAUAUUGGGAAGAACACCGGUGGCGAAGGCGGCGAGCUGGUCCAUUACUGACGCUGAUGCGCGAAAGCGUGGGGAGCAAACAGG